AAAACAACAAAAUCUAAAUCGCCAUCGAAUGAAAAGCGCGCAGUCUCCCUUAGUGUCGGCUCGCUCCUUGGUUUAGUUGCUGCCUCGCGUCCAGGGACCUUGUUCGGACUGAGUCCCUAUAUUUCUAUUGGUCAGAUAACGCUUUUCCUUCUUAUUGCCGAGGGGUCGACCACAAAGGACUGGCUGCUGCUAACUACCUCUGAUGUUCGCUACAAAAGAAAUUCUCAAAGCUAAUUCUAAAUCAGCUGCGGGACAAUUUGCAUCAUUUUAAUAAAACACUUCUACUUGGAAGAAUAAUGUACCUUAACGAGCAAAAAUGGGUCAUCGUGGCACACCACAACUUAAUGUCGCAAAGAAUGUCAGCAGGAUAAUCAAGAAGAAAGAUCAAAGAUAAACGCAAAACAACUUAAACUCAGGAAACGGCACAUUUCAUACAUCUAGGUCUUGUAGUUAAUCUCAUGGUCUAAUCUUCAUGGCAGUUUAUCUUCAUCUCAACUAUUGGAAGAGUCCAAUCUGAACCAGCAACGAAAACGUAAUGAACCAAAAUAUGAAAACACAAACAGUCUGACAACGUUGAAGAGUUCUGCCGUUUUUUUUUCCCUGUUGGGUUUCCGAGUUAGAAUCACCGGCCUUCUGGGGAACCAUAAAUGGCAGCAACUCCCCAGCCUCUCCUCGGCAUUGCGCUUACCCCCUGAGCUGCGAUGCCUCUGGUAGCUGGAAGGCUAAAGAUAAAGCAUUCCAGAAAGCCUGUUCUCAAAAUCUUAGAACAGUUCUCGCGCGGAGUUUGCAGUAUCCCCCGGCACAUCAGCCGCGCCUACGACAGAGACACUCACUGCACAUAUACCGCGUACGGGGUUACCGCUGCAGUCCACUUUAAAUUAUCCUCUGCCCUGGGUUGAUUCACUUCUCGGAACUCCAGCGGCCUGCCGAAAGAUUUCCGCUAAUUCUUUCCAAGUGGCACACAAGGUGUGGAUAUUAGUACCGUCGAGUCAAUGGAGAAUGCCUAACCGGGAACAAGGCCAUUCUGAGCUGCCACAAGAAGGUUUGAACUCAUCUCUUUCUGCCGACAUUGCCGCGCCUUUGUCGAGGGAUUUACGAGACCAACGAUCAGGGAAUAUGUGCAGCAUAAAUAACCCCGUCCCGAGUGACGACCUUUUCCUUAAAGAAACGAACAAUUUUUACUAUAGUUUUCCAUGUGCUUUUUAUCAAGCGCUUGUACUUUAAAGAUAUGAUUUAAGAUCCCUAAAGUCUGCACGUUUGUUCGUUUACUGAGACGAGGAAGUUAUCAGCGAAAAAAAAGACUUGCAGCUCCGAUUGCAAAAGUGUUACUGAAAAUUGCCAAAAAGAAAUGCAUCUUGCAAUGAGACUUUUCUGAUUCAGAUUUGCUAAUACGUCUUGUUUGUUUGAUAAUUUUAGACAAGGACGUAUUGGUGUUGUUAUUGGUUUAUUAUUGUCGCUUGUACCGAGGUACAGUGAAAAGCUUGUCUUACAAACCGAUCGUACAGGUCAAUUCAUUACACAGUGCAGUUACAUCUUGUAUUUCGAUCAUCAUGAAUGUGUAUUUACAUUACUUUAUAUAAGAACGUUUUCAAUUGAGAUUAACAUGUACAUGUACACCGCCCCCUUUCCUGAAGUCAAUGACCAGCUCUUCUGUUUUUUUGACAUUGAGGGAAAAGUUGUCGUCAUGACACCAUUCCACUAAGCUCUCUAUCUCCUUCCUGUACUCCGACUCAUCGCUGUUUGAAAUACGGCUUACAACGGUGGUAUCAUCUGCAAACUUGUAGUUACGUGGUUGUAUUUCGAUCAUCAUAGCGAUUGAAUAGUGCCCCUCCUUCCCCCUAAUUUUUUUGUCAAGGAAAUGUUUUAAGAAUUGUGCCAUGUCACACAUGGAUUAUCAAUCCCUGUGCAGGCUUCCACGUUUGCCACGAGCAUUAUUGAAGUGGGAAAUGGUUAUAUUUUUCUCUAUGUCAUCCAAUGCGGCCACGCACGGAUUUUGUUGUAUUUGAAGUAGCGCAUCUGAAACUGCUUUGGGGUUGAUAAUUUCAUUGGUUGAUUGGAGCAUGGAGGGACAUCAUCAAUCCUCAACCAGUAAUAUUAACGAUAAUGGCUCAUAUUGGGGCACAAUAUGGAUCAGGUGAAACAAAACCACAAUGGCUCAUAUUGGGGCACAAUAUGGAUCAGGUGAAACAAAACCACUGGCUAUUGGAAUUUCUUUACGUUUCAGAAUACAGCUACAAUAAACGAUCUCAACAGUAAUAAAAUAGUGUGGUAUCAUACGACAUUCUUAAAACGUUAUUGAUCAUUCAUUUGAACAACAUAGCGGUACAUUGUAAUAAUUCAAAUCUUUCACGGGAGACGUUGCAAUGUAUGAACAGAUGCAUUUUUUUAACAGCAACUUUGUUGGCAGGGAGCAUCCGAAAAUCGAAUCUACAAAAGCUGCAAAGGAAGAGGA
Pristis pectinata (smalltooth sawfish) is the source of this 2452-nucleotide long non-coding RNA. RefSeq lists it as uncharacterized. The record is from RefSeq and is a predicted model, not a curated record. The transcript is spliced from 3 exons. NCBI's taxonomy places the organism in Eukaryota, Metazoa, Chordata, Chondrichthyes, Rhinopristiformes, Pristidae.